This is a non-coding RNA of Mycena olivaceomarginata, 90 nucleotides long. NCBI's taxonomy places the organism in Eukaryota, Fungi, Basidiomycota, Agaricomycetes, Agaricales, Mycenaceae. The record is from the annotation of a GenBank genome assembly.
UCGGAUAUGGUGUACUGGUUCACCGCCUUUCCCAGUUCCAAUUGAGUGAAUCGGCAGAGGCAGAUCGGGGUUCGACUCCCCGUGUCCGAG